Long non-coding RNA from Polyodon spathula (Mississippi paddlefish), 2140 nucleotides. RefSeq lists it as uncharacterized. The record is from RefSeq and is a predicted model, not a curated record. NCBI's taxonomy places the organism in Eukaryota, Metazoa, Chordata, Actinopteri, Acipenseriformes, Polyodontidae. The transcript has 4 exons.
CACAGCAGCACUGGCAGGCAGAUCUGACGAUGGAAGCACACUUACUAAACUGGAUUAUCAUAUCGCUAUGUGCAGGUUGUUUAGCUUUGGAAGUAAAACCUGUCACAGAUCCUGUAAUCAGCCAGGCUGGAGACAAUGUACAGCUGGAGAUGAAACCCCCUGGAGUUCUGCGUUCAAUGAUAUGGUCUUUCAGCCCUGCAAAUAUCUUUGUGGUGUCGUGGGUCGGAUUCAACCCAAUCGUAGCUCCUGGGUAUGUGAACAGAGUCACCCUGAACGCAACCACAGGAUCACUGGAGUUCUGUGAAACUCAGCGAUUCCGGAGUCUAUACAUUUCAGGGCCUUAUCGAGGGACCAGGAAAUGUGCAAAAUAUCAAUGGGUGUGUUACCUUGAAAGUUUAUGAGCCGAUAACUAAUGUAAAUGUGAAACCCAACCCAGCCCAGCCAAUAGAAAACCAGGCUCUAAAGCUGACCUGCCAGGUGUUUGGAUCACAGACUGCUUUCUCAAGUCUCUGGCUGAAGGACGGUCAGCCCUUGUCCCUAGUGACAGAAUAACAUUGUCUGUGGACAGCAGUGUAGUCUCCUUCAACCCCGUCCUGCAGUCUGAUAACGGAAAAUAUCAGUGUAAAGCGUAUAGCCCUGUAAGUGAAGUGACGAGUGCUGUGUACAGAUUGGAGGUCAAUUAUGGACCAGAGCAGGCAUCUAUUACAGGACCAGACAAAUCCGCUCUCAAUUCAUCUGUGGCAUAAACAUUCUGCACUGAAGAUGUAUUCUUUUUUUGUAUGGUGAGCGGACAACAUUCACUACACUGACCCAAAACAACAAAGUGGUGAAAGGAUAGAGAUGGAAGAAGAGACCACCAGUGAAGACGCCCAAAUCCCAGAAUGGUCCGUUGCAAACCACAGGCUACCCCCAUUACAAACGAUGAAUACGCAGUGAUGAGAAGGAACAGACCAGCAGUGUAGCAGAGCCAGGGUAGGGGUGAAGAGGUGAAUUCCAGCCCCUGACAAAGACCAACAUUUCCACCUGGACCAUCCUUACAUCCAGCGGUCUAUUCAAAUCCUGUACUCCCGCAGUUUAAUAAUUCAGAUAGAACCCACUGUGUAGCAGGGUUAUGCAAACAAACAUCUCAUCCAUUCCCUUUGAGUCUCUGUAAACCAUUACAAAUCACAUUACCAAUCCCUUUGCAUGAGGAAAGCUGCUUUAAAAAAUGACUAAAUAACAAAACUAACAUAACUGUGAGUAACUGUUUAAUUUGAACAUAUAAUGCCCCUCCCAAAAAUUGCCUUUAUCAGAGUUGUUUGUUUUGCUAUUUUGUACUUUAUAAAUGCUGCUAUAAGGAUAUCGGCACUAUUAAUAAUGUAAUCCUAGGGUUGCUCCUUCUACAAUUCUCAAUUAAAAACUCAAAUUCAUCUUCCCUGUAUUUGAGUAAGGGCGUUACAUUAGCAAGUUUGCCCAUCCCUCCCCCACAUCAGCAAUCGUUUACUUUCUAAGGGGUGAAAGGUUAAUUAUUAAACUAGGUGGUUUGUGAUCUCAGAGCUUAUCAUAUAACGUUAAUGACAUUCCAUCCAAACUACAGUACUGAGGGCAGAUUUUGAUGAGUUUAUCACCUAACCUUCACAAGGUGGUGAAUUCAAGAACUGUUUGUUUGUUCAGGAAAAAUAUGCUGAAGAGCAUUAUUAGAUUAGGGGAAGGCAGUAUUCAGUCCCUGUGCAGGUGUAUGUCUACCUGGAUUAUUAAACAAGUCUUUAGCCCCGCGCCCCUAAUACACAGGUAGUAAACAAGCUGUUGUAUCUCGGUUGAGCUAUAAUGCAUCAGAAACACCUUAAAAGAAAUACAUACAAUAAAUGUUUUCAACUUAGUCUGCAUUUUCAGCCCCCCUUGCAAAUAAGACUUUUAUUACACCUUUCUUAAAGAAAUAGUUUACAUUUUUAAAAAGACUAGGUCUAAGUCUAAUGGUGACUCCAAGGUGCCACCUCAUUGGCUUCUAUUGCCCCCCGCCCCCCAAAAAAAAAUAUGUAUAAAAUCGCUGGUACUGAAAAUAUUUCAAACCAUGUGCAUGUUUAGUUAAUGAUUUAAAAUCAAUAAUACAUAAUUAUAUAUUUAUUUUUGUUUUUAUGACUUAGCUUAAACUACAGCUGUG